RNAcentral lists this ribosomal RNA (410 nucleotides) under uncultured bacterium. Its description in RNAcentral is "bacterial SSU rRNA". It matches the Rfam family "Bacterial small subunit ribosomal RNA", at positions 1093 to 1505 of the family's 1533-position model. The record is from RNAcentral.
CGAGCGCAACCCUUGUCAUUAGUUGCUACGAAAGGGCACUCUAAUGAGACUGCCGGUGACAAACCGGAGGAAGGUGGGGAUGACGUCAGGUCCUCAUGGCCCUUAUGGGUAGGGCUACACACGUCAUACAAUGGCCGGUACAGAGGGCUGCCAACCCGCGAGGGGGAGCCAAUCCCAGAGAACCGGUCGUAGUCCGGAUCGUAGUCUGCAACUCGACUGCGUGAAGUCGGAAUCGCUAAGUAAUCGCGGAUCAAGCUUGCCGCGGUGAAUACGUUCCCGGGUCUUGUACACACCGCCCGUCACACCAUGGGAGUUGGAUUCACUCGAAGGCGUUGAGCUAACCCGCAAGGGAGGCAGGCGACCACAGUGGGUUUAGCGACUGGGGUGAAGUCGUAACAAGGUAACCAAUC